Molecule: unclassified non-coding RNA, 309 nt
Filed under: Hevea brasiliensis (rubber tree)
Lineage: Eukaryota; Viridiplantae; Streptophyta; Magnoliopsida; Malpighiales; Euphorbiaceae
Source: RNAcentral
GAACCGAGGUCGUGGCUAUGGGAGGAAUGAGUUUGACAAUCAAGUUGGAUCAUCUGGUCAAUCUCGUGGUACUGCUAGCCGCAAUGGAGAAGGUAACAAGAAAAUUUAUCAGAAUGGGGGAGGAAGAGUUGCUGGACAGGGACAGGCUCAAGCACAGGCUCAAUCUCAAUCUCAAUCUCAAGCUCAAGCUCAAUCUGCGGGUGGGAAGAACUAGUUUGCUGCUUUCUGCUGGAAUUUUGUUUACUAUAAUUUUUUCCUUGAUUUUUCAGAUUGGUAAGUAUUUGGGAAAUCGGAUUGCAGCUUUUAAAG